Molecule: non-coding RNA, 27 nt
Filed under: Cricetulus griseus (Chinese hamster)
Lineage: Eukaryota; Metazoa; Chordata; Mammalia; Rodentia; Cricetidae
Source: RNAcentral
CAUUAAUGUAUAUCGUGCAUUACAUUA